RNAcentral lists this transfer RNA (76 nucleotides) under Bacillota bacterium. RNAcentral's name for it is "Firmicutes bacterium tRNA-Ala". It matches the Rfam family "tRNA". From Rfam's summary of the family: Transfer RNA (tRNA) molecules are approximately 80 nucleotides in length. The record is from RNAcentral. Lineage: Bacteria; Bacillati; Bacillota.
GGGUGCAUAGCUCAGUUGGGAGAGCGCCUGCUUCGCAUGUAGGAGGUCGCGGGUUCGAAUCCCGCUGCAUCCACCA